CCAGGUUCUGUUCCAGCUCUGUUCCUGGGUGCAGGGGUAGGAUCUGGGCUCCUUGUGCUGCUGUUACUGCUGACAGGAGGAGUGCUGAAGUGUCUGCAAUCCAAACGAGACCCUGCUGUCCAGACUGAACCUGUGUACACCACGGUGAAUAAGUCCAAUCAGCCUACAAAACAACAGGAAGACACCCUCACCUACUCAGAAGUCAACACUGCCCGUGUCACCAAGAAGAAAUCCAGAUCUGAACCUGAAGACAAUGUAACAUACGCAACAGUAAAGAAUAAAGUUUAGUAUGGUAGCAAUGGUAAUCUAAUGGGAAUACAUAGCAUAGGCCUGGGGAAAGAAAUGGAAACCGCAGAUUAAAAGUGCAAAUAUCGAUAACCUUUGAAAGGGGUUCAAACCAGACGUUACAUCCUGAAUCAUUCCUGGACUAUCAUUUUAUAUACAGUGUGUGUCAGCUUAGAAAACACAGGUGAGGUUUGGUGGGUUCAACUUAAAAAUGAAUUAUCAGAAAAUUCUGCACAUCUGCCAGUGUGCUUGAGAGAGGCCCAGGACUGAACAGCUUGUAAGUCGUUUAGAUGUGUAAAUUAUAUUCUGUCCUUUCAAAAGAACCUGAUAACAGUUUUGAGAACCUAAUUUGUUGUGAAUGGAAAUCAGUAAUGAUUCUUAUUUCAUGUUUUUCAUGUGGUUUCUGUUCAUACUGUAAAACAAUUAAAUUUAUUUUAAUAACCAGCAGUGGGUUACACAGACCCCAGUUAGCAGCACUGCUAGAUUACCUUACCUAAGGGACACAGGUAGUCCAUGAUUAGUGCUAAUGUGAGUCUAAACAAUCAACCACAUCUCUGAGCUACAGCCCCUUCAGCAUUGCUCUGUAUGUAUUUAACUUCAUUGUUAUAAAGUCUACAAUAUGUAUUUGUGUGGUUGUGUUGUCUCUUAUCUAUGAUCUCAGCUCACUGUUUUUUUUUUCAUAAAGGCCACCACCACCGGACAUGUUUUGUAUUGAUGGUCUUUUAUCAUUUCUGUUUUAAAUACUGUGGUUUGCUUAAGAAAGGUUCUCUGUCAUUCAUGUCACCUCGCUAUGCAUCCUAAAAUUAAACACUGCAUACGCCUUGCACAGUGAGUCUGUGAGUAGCAUUGGCUUUCUCAUUCUUCUGUCUAACGGCUAAAAAUAAUUCAUUUCUGUUUGUAUAUUAGUCACAUCUAUAGAGAUGUGAAAAGAAAACACAGCAAAGAUAACGGCUCAGUAAAGAUAAUGGCUCAGUAAAAUCCUGUGAGCUUCAGAGAUCUGUACUAAAGUGUCUCUCAUUCCAAGGGUCAGAGCAACAUGCUGUACUAUCUCAAGUAAGUAGGUCUCAUUAGCAUUACAUUACAGCACAAGUACUGAUCAUAUGAACACGACAUGACAGGGAACUAGAAACGUGUGCUAUGUUUAAUACAGACUGUUUAAUUUAGCUUAAAACAUGGAAAACGAUGAAUACAUUGAAGUGCUAUUAAAAACAAUAGAAAUACAUUAUUCUACAAUAGUCAUUUGUCAGUGCCUGUAUUUCUUGUUGAACUGGAGCUGUGCCAGUUCCACUGAGGUUUCAAAUCUUUAUUAAUAGUUACAGUUGUCUCUUGGCUGUGAUUGUCAAUAAAGGCUGGUAUAUGUUGUUCAGAAUGUGAACUGUCUUGAUUUCUCUCAAAGACUGAACUGCAAAUAAAGAAAUGCGCUGUGAGAAGAAUCACUACACAUUACAUGGGGGAGACUCCUCACUGCCCCUUCUGUUCUGCAAUGCCAGGGUAGAGCAUGUCUCAGAUAAGAAUGCAGUAAAAAAAGGGCAAACUCCCAUCUUUUGUGGGCUUGUGUAGCAAUGAGUUAUCAACACUGUCCAAGUUAUAUUAUUUGAAUAUUUUAAAAAUCAAUGAUUCUAAUAUUAAACCAAUGUGUUCAUGUUGUGAGUUCAUAGUACCAGAACGGAAAUGUCUUUAGCAUAUAAUUAACAUAUUCAACGAUUCAAAAUGUUGGUGGAAUGGAUUCCAUGAUCCUAACGGCAAGCACGAUCUCGCUGAUUCCUUUCUCAACGUCUAAGAAGAUAAUGAACGGGAAGCGAUAAUUAGCUAAGAGCCCUAAUUGUAUGCCCAGUUAAAUUUAAUAAACUGUAUAUUUACCACACUUUCUCGUAAGGGGAAAAUUCAAACAGGAUUCUGUGAUGCAAAAACAAAUCAUGUCUCAAACUGAUCCUUUCAGGAUAUAAAGUUGAAUGAAUGCAAUGUUCCUUCCGAAGCAAGGUGAUUUUGAAGACACAGCUUUGAAGUUGUUAAGCGUUUAAGGUACAGAAAGGUUGUUUGAAACACUUUGGCUAAGUAGAUGCAGGAUUCAUUGUCCAGUGAUUCCUGGUUUUACUUGUAGUUUUAAGUUGCAAUUUUUGCUAAUCUGUAUAGCAGACUUUCAAUUACCUCAGACUUGCUGUUACGCACAGCUGAUGUUAGCUCCACUUUCAAUAGCCCAAGUUAUUGGUUGAGUUGCUGAAAUGUACUUUUGUUCCAGUCAAAUUUGCUUUCAAUUAGAGAUUAAAUGAUGCAGUGCUUCAGUAGAUUCUCCCUGGAUGUUUGUAAUGCUCCUGCAUCUGAUUCUUCUGUGUCUGAUGCCUUGUUCUCUCUGGAUGGUUCUUUUGUUUCUGAACCAGCUCUCUUUUUAAGCCGUGCGUGCUGGUUUACCACAACGACCUGCAGCUGCAGUGAACUCAAUCAGCAGUACUUCAAGAAGUCCUUGUGCUCAAAUACAUACCAGUGUUUCACAAAGCUAAAAUAAUAAUGCUCAACCAAAUCAUAUAUAAACACAGGCUCAAAUAAACAUAUGCAUGAUAAAUAAAAACAAUGCAAUUAUGAGUGAUUAAAUCAAAGAAAUGCACAACUACUAAAGAAAAAGGAACGUUCCAUUAAUUACAUAAUGAUACUCUCUUGCUGCUGCUGCUUUCAGCUAAACUAACAAAACUACAGACCCGUUGAGCUCAGCGGAUGUUAUAUUCUGCACUUGCUUAUGCUUUUGUGCUUUACCGCAUGGGCUGAAGCUUUCUUUCUGUCUGUGGUCCAUGCUGCAUCAUUUUGGGUUCUGUGUUCCCACGGAUGUUUGAAUGUAAAUGACAAUUAUCAUCAACACCCCUGAGAUGGACUUGUUAUCACUCGCAUUUCAUUUAUGUCUGGCACAAGGCAAUACAGGCACUAAUAUUUUAACAAGCCUCACACCUUGACUACCCUGGCUGCUGUGGAAGAGUGUGGCUUUCCCCCACGUCUUUAAAACCAGCCCUGCACUUAUCAUCUCUCUUCCUAAACUGACUCUUUACCAGUCUGUGGACAAGGGCAGCCUGGAGUGGAUUUCAGGAACAUGCUGGAUGAGUUGCUGGGGUUCCUGUGAAGAAAUCAUGCACAGAGUGGAGAAGGACAGCAUAUUGAACUGGAACAUGUAUAAUGAUAUUGAAACAUGAACACUUAACUACAUUUCAGAAUCAGAAGCAUUCAGACACACAUUCUUUUCAUAUGUAUGGCUAGUGGAUACAAUCCAAUGUUCCAUUCUUGUGUCUAUAACAAUCCUUUGUCACUAGGUUUAGCUGCGGGACAAUGACCUCCAGGACUUAGUGACAGUUUGAGGAACAGGCGGAUCACAACAGUUAGGUACACGCUGUGCAUGCAGCUCAGCACACAGCAAUGAGACCAGAUGCAGGGUUCAGCACCCCUGACUCUGAAACAACAAAGCAGGCAAUGCGUGGCUGAGGUGAAAUAGACGUGACUAAUACACUAACAGAAAUGAAUUAUUUUUAGACGUUAGACAGAAGAAUGAGAAAGCCAAUGCUACUCACAGCCUCACUGUGCAAGGCGUAUGCAGUGUUUAAUUUUAGCAUGCAUAGCGAGGUGACAGAAUGACAGAGAACCUUGCUUAAGCAAACCACAGUAUUUAAAACAGAAAUGAUAAAAGACCAUCAAUACAAAACAUGUCCGGUGGUGAUGGCCCUGAUGAAAAAAAAAAACAGUGAGCUGAGAUCAUAGAUAAGAGACAACACAACCACACAAAUACAUAUUGUACACUUUAGAACAAUGAAGUUAAGUACAUACAGAGCAAUGCUGAAGGGGCUGUAGCUCAGACUUCAAGUAAGUUUUCUAACUAGACUGAUGAUUCAGAAUGUAACGUCUGGUUUGAACCCCUUUCAAAGGUUAUCGAUAUUUGCACUUUUAUUUUGUUUUUAAGCCACUCCAGUGUGGCUUUGGCUGAUGUUUGGGGUUAUUGUCCUGCUGGAAGACAAAUCUUCUCCAAGUCCCAAGUCUUUUGCAGACAUCAGCAGGUUUUCCUCCAGGAUUUCUCUGUACUUUGCUGCAUCCAUUUUGC
This is a long non-coding RNA of Polyodon spathula (Mississippi paddlefish), 4357 nucleotides long. RefSeq lists it as uncharacterized. The transcript is spliced from 3 exons. NCBI's taxonomy places the organism in Eukaryota, Metazoa, Chordata, Actinopteri, Acipenseriformes, Polyodontidae. The record is from RefSeq and is a predicted model, not a curated record.